AUGGAAAACCUGGCCUUUAACAAGAGGUCGCUGUGCUAUCUGUGCAAGAGGAUGAAUCAGCAACAGGGAGAUGAUGACAUCAGGAAGACAAUUCAGCCAUUCUCUGAAUUGAAAGAGAGGGAUCCAAAUUUUGUUGACAGUGUGCUUGUGGACGAAGAGAGCAAAAUCAGAGCACUGAUGUGGACAGAUGGUAAGAGCCUCCACCAGUACAAAUUCUUCGGAGACGCAAUAACCUUCGACACAACAUAUCGUACCAACCAGUACGACAUGCCUUUCGGAUUGUUUGUUGGUGUCAACAAUCACUUCUAG
RNAcentral lists this ribosomal RNA (309 nucleotides) under Triticum aestivum (bread wheat). Its description in RNAcentral is "partial small subunit ribosomal RNA". Lineage: Eukaryota; Viridiplantae; Streptophyta; Magnoliopsida; Poales; Poaceae. The record is from RNAcentral.